RNAcentral lists this ribosomal RNA (315 nucleotides) under uncultured bacterium. Its description in RNAcentral is "bacterial SSU rRNA". It matches the Rfam family "Bacterial small subunit ribosomal RNA", at positions 28 to 334 of the family's 1533-position model. The record is from RNAcentral.
GAUGAACGCUAGCGACAGGCCUAACACAUGCAAGUCGAGGGGUAACAGAUGAAGAGCUUGCUCAGAUUGCUGACGACCGGCGCACGGGUGAGUAACACGUAUGCAACCUACCUUUUACAGAGGGAUAGCCCAGAGAAAUUUGGAUUAAUACCUCAUAAUAUUUUUAACUCGCAUGAGUUUUAAAUUAAAACUUCGGUGGUAAAAGAUGGGCAUGCGUUCUAUUAGUUUGUUGGUGAGGUAACGGCUUACCAAGACUACGAUAGAUAGGGGUUCUGAGAGGAUAGUCCCCCACACUGGUACUGAGACACGGACCAG